UGAAGUCUCUAACCUUACAGUAUAUGUCUAGAUAUUUAUUAACAACGACAUCAAAAACUAGCAUUACCUUUGUUUUAUAACAUACUGUAUCAGGUCAUUGUCAAAGUUUCUCUUCUGUCUGAUGAGCCAAAGACACAAUCAUUUCCUAAUGCUGAUUUAUUCAGUAACAUGUUAAUCUUAUGUUUGGUCUGAGAUGUUUCAACAGUUUACUGUUUGUUGUUUUGUGUGUUGUAGAUCAACAUGCCAGAGGUACAUGUAGAAAAUGUGGCUUCUUCACGAAAGCAUGUGUGGAUGCAGAAAACGUUUCCUGCUGCCACGAGACCAGAGUGAAGGAUAUUGAUACUCCGCUGCUGCCAGACACAUGUGUCCCAGGAGUCUCUGAUGUCCAGCAAACUCCUGACCGAGAGCAGAUCCGUUCUCAGCUGUCUUGUGUCAGUGGUCCGUCUGCAGUGGCAGCUGUUUCGAACGCAAAAGAAACCGAGGGAGCCAGCAUGGAGGACAAUUUGAAGGACGAACCACAAGAACAACGUGCCAAUGAGACAGACGAAAGAACGCUGCUGGCUGUUAAGCCGUCUGAUAGCAAGACAAAGUGCUACUGGGACAGAUGAAAGAACGCUGUUGUCUUUUAAGCCAUCUGAUAGAGAAUUUCAGUCCGUCUAUGAAAAACAAUUCUCUUUAGGAAGUGGUAACUAUGGAGACGUCUACAUGGCAAUACGCAAAUCUGAUGGUCGAAAGGUUCCUGUCAAAUCCAUAAAAAGGUGUAAACACGACAUUCCUAUUGCUGUUGCUGGCUAUCCGAAACCUGUGAUGACUGAAGUGGCAAUGAUGGGCUAUGUUGCAAAAACCUCCCACAUGUCCUUAUGUCAUUGAAAUGUUUGAGUGGUUUGACUACCCAGACAAGAUAGAAAUUGUUAUGGAAUGUCCUGCUCCCUGCUUGGAACUGAAGACAUUAAUUUCUUUUCAUUACCUCACCGAACAAAAAGUCAGGAACCUCAUUUGUCAGACAGUUCAAGCUGUGAAGCACAGCCUUGACAGAGGCGUCUUUCAUAACGACAUCCACACAAGCAACAUCCUGGUCAACACCAGAACCUACAACCUCAUGUUAAUAGUCUUCUGCUGUGCUCUUGAAUACAAAAAGGGCAAACUCUUUCCCAACCAUAAAUAUAGAGGAGGAUAUGAUUACCGGCCAUCUGAGGUCAAGGCUAUGAAGGAUUUUGAGGGCGAGCAGAAUGUUUUUCAGCUAGGGAAGCUCCUGGAAAAAUGUCUCCUGAGUGUAGGCCAAGAGUAAGCAUCUGUGAGUCAAUUGACAAGAAUACUGUAACCCACAGCUGAGUGCACACAGAAAGAGUCCAUUUUUGUUAUUAUUAGAGCAGAAAUGUCAAAUCUAGCAAAUAUCUGGGUAAAACCAUUGCUUUCAUCAGAGAAUUCAUAUAGUGCAUCAUGUGGUGACCAUGACUAGAGGGUUUAAUUUAAGGCCUAUCUAUUACCAGGGCUUAUAUAAUAUGAUUACAUAUGUCAUCAUUUGUAGUGCCAUCGUAGGUUUGACCUUAAAUUUCAUGUAAUGUAGCAUUAUAAUUGCUACCUUUGACUAACCAGCUCGCUUUAAACUGUUAUAGAUUGUAGAAAGCUUUCAGCUGUAUGCAAAGCCUACAUUCCAAAAGACCGGCCAGAGGUUGUCAAGCUCUUAGACCACAAGUGGUUUAGAUACGCUUGAGUCAGUCCCUACAAGGACUUCUUAAAGAACCAUAUGCAACUAAAAUGACAUCAAUUAGUUUUGUAAUACAGUAGUAAAUGUUUCUUUUGUGAAUUCUUCAUUGACAUAAUUAUUCAACCCCUUAAAGACUACCACUCUGAAGAACAGAGGUUCAAUGAAGUGUUUUCAAUCAGAUAUUGAAAACACCUGUGGAUAUCAGGGAGCAGCAAUAAAGCCUAAUAAGCACCAAUUAGGCAGCUUUAAAAUGACUGUGAUACUCAGCUCCUUCUAGACAUUUACUGGUGUGGUUACAAACAUGGUGAGGUCAAGAGAAUGGUCCAGGAAGACAAGAGAACAGGUGAUUACUCUUCACAGGAAGGGCAAUAGCUAUAAGAAGAUUGCAAAGAUGUUAAACAUACCAAGAGACACCAUAGGAAGCAUCAUUCGCAAAUUCAAGGCAAAGGGCACUGUUGAAACGCUACCUGGUCGUGGCAGAAAGAAGAUGCUGACUUCGACUGCUGUGCGCUACCUGAAGCGUAGAGUGGAGAAAAGUCCCCGUGUGACUGCUGAGGAACUGAGAAAAGAUUUGUCAGAUGUGGGUACUGAAGUUUCUGCUCAGACAAUACGGCGCACCCUGCGUAAUGAAGGCCUCCAUGCCAGAACUCCCAGGCGCAUCCCCCUUGCUGUCCCCAAAGAAUAAGAAGAGUCGACUGCAGUAUGCCAAAAGUCAUGUGGACAAACCACAGAAGUUUUGGGAUAGUGUUCUGUGGACUGAUGAAACAAAAUUAGACCUGUUUGGACCCAUGGAUCAACACUAUGUUUGGAGGAGGGCUUAUGAAGAAAAGAACACCUUGCCUACUGUGAAGCAUGGCGGGGGUCAAUCAUGCUUUGGAGCUGUUUUGCUUCUGCAGGUACUGGGAAGCUUCAGCGUGUGCAAGGUACCAUGAAUUCUCUUCAGUACCAGGAGAUAUUGGAUGACAAUGUGAUGCAGUCCGUCCCAAACCUGAGGCUUGGAAGACGUUGGACCUUUCAACAGGACAAUGAUCCCAAGCAUACCUCCAAGUCCACUAGAGCAGAUCAAAGUUUCAGAUUAAAGGCUGGAACAUUUUGAAGUGGCCAUCGCAGUCACCAGACUUAAAUCCGAUUGAGAACCUCUGGUGGGACUUAAAGAAAGCAGUUGCAGUGCGCAAGCCUAAGAAUGUGACUGAACUGGAGGCUUUUGCCCAUGAUGAAUGGGCGAAGAUACCCGUAGAUCGCUGCAAGACACUUGUGUCAAGCUAUGCUUCACGUUUAAAAGCUGUUAUAACUGUAAAAGGAUGUUGUACUAAGUACAAAGAUUGAAUGUCACUUGGGG
Long non-coding RNA from Triplophysa dalaica, 3047 nucleotides. RefSeq lists it as uncharacterized. The transcript is spliced from 7 exons. NCBI's taxonomy places the organism in Eukaryota, Metazoa, Chordata, Actinopteri, Cypriniformes, Nemacheilidae. The record is from RefSeq and is a predicted model, not a curated record.